UACAGAGACCUCAAGCGUUAUCCGGAAUCAUUGGGCGUAAAGCGUGCCGAUCGGCGGUUUUUUAAGCCAGGGGGGAAAUCUUCGAGCUCAACUCGGAGUCUGUCCUUUGGAACUGCAAGGCUAGAGGGACAAAGAAGAAGCUGGAACCAGUGGUGUAGUAGUGAAAUGCGUUGAUAUCACUGGGAACACCAAUAGCGAAGGCGGGCUUCUAGGUGUCACCUGACGCUGCUAGGACGAAAGCGUGGGGAGCGAAUGGG
Molecule: ribosomal RNA, 257 nt
Filed under: uncultured bacterium
Lineage: Bacteria
Description: partial 16S ribosomal RNA
Rfam family: Bacterial small subunit ribosomal RNA
Source: RNAcentral